RNAcentral lists this ribosomal RNA (465 nucleotides) under Vreelandella stevensii. RNAcentral describes it as "partial 16S ribosomal RNA". It matches the Rfam family "Bacterial small subunit ribosomal RNA", at positions 338 to 795 of the family's 1533-position model. The record is from RNAcentral. Lineage: Bacteria; Pseudomonadati; Pseudomonadota; Gammaproteobacteria; Oceanospirillales; Halomonadaceae.
CCCACGGGGGGCAGCAGUGGGGAAUAUUGGACAAUGGGGGCAACCCUGAUCCAGCCAUGCCGCGUGUGUGAAGAAGGCCCUCGGGUUGUAAAGCACUUUCAGUGAGGAAGAACGCCUGGUGGUUAAUACCCAUCAGGAAAGACAUCACUCACAGAAGAAGCACCGGCUAACUCCGUGCCAGCAGCCGCGGUAAUACGGAGGGUGCGAGCGUUAAUCGGAAUUACUGGGCGUAAAGCGCGCGUAGGUGGCUUGAUAAGCCGGUUGUGAAAGCCCCGGGCUCAACCUGGGAACGGCAUCCGGAACUGUCAAGCUAGAGUGCAGGAGAGGAAGGUAGAAUUCCCGGUGUAGCGGUGAAAUGCGUAGAGAUCGGGAGGAAUACCAGUGGCGAAGGCGGCCUUCUGGACUGACACUGACACUGAGGUGCGAAAGCGUGGGUAGCAAACAGGAUUAGAUACCCGGGUAGUC